GAGACUGUAGUUCAGUGGAAGAACACUUGCCUAGCAUGUGUGAGGGCCCUGAGUUCGAUCCUCAGCACCACA
This 72-nucleotide transfer RNA is filed under the name Marmota monax (woodchuck). Its description in RNAcentral is "tRNA.Ala". The stretch from base 6 to 67 matches the Rfam family "tRNA", at positions 6 to 65 of the family's 71-position model. Rfam says of the family: Transfer RNA (tRNA) molecules are approximately 80 nucleotides in length. Their secondary structure includes four short double-helical elements and three loops (D, anti-codon, and T loops). The record is from RNAcentral. Lineage: Eukaryota; Metazoa; Chordata; Mammalia; Rodentia; Sciuridae.